CCUACGGGUGGCAGCAGUGGGGAAUAUUGCACAAUGGGGGAAACCCUGAUGCAGCGACGCCGCGUGAGUGAAGAAGUAUUUCGGUACGUAAAGCUCUAUCAGCAGGGAAGAAAAUGACGGUACCUGACUAAGAAGCCCCGGCUAACUACGUGCCAGCAGCCGCGGUAAUACGUAGGGGGCAAGCGUUAUCCGGAUUUACUGGGUGUAAAGGGAGCGUAGACGGCAGCGCAAGUCUGGAGUGAAAUCCCAUGGCUUAACCAUGGAACUGCUUUGGAAACUGUGCAGCUAGAGUGCAGGAGAGGUAAGCGGAAUUCCUAGUGUAGCGGUGAAAUGCGUAGAUAUUAGGAGGAACACCAGUGGCGAAGGCGGCCUACUGGAACAUUACUGACGCUCAUGCACGAAAGCGUGGGGAGCAAACAGGAUUAGAUACCCCUGUAGUC
RNAcentral lists this ribosomal RNA (440 nucleotides) under uncultured bacterium. RNAcentral describes it as "partial 16S ribosomal RNA". It matches the Rfam family "Bacterial small subunit ribosomal RNA", at positions 338 to 795 of the family's 1533-position model. The record is from RNAcentral.